GGAGUGGGCCGGAUGGCCGCUGUGGUCCCUUUUGGGACCAUGGAGGAAAGUCCGGGCUCCACAGGGCAGGAUGCCGGGUAACCCCCGGCGGGGGUGACCCCAGGGAUAGCGCCACAGAAAGCAAACCGCCGGCCGGAGCAGCCCAUUCGGGUUGCGCAGCCGGCAAGGGUGAAAGGGUGCGGUAAGAGCGCACCGCGCUCCCGGUAACGGUAGCGGCAGGGCAAGCCCCAUCCGGAGCAAGACCGCAUAGGGGGGCGUUUGAAGACGGCCCGUCCAGCCCCCGGGUAGGUCGCAAGAGAGUGCCGGCAACGGUACUCCCAGAGGAAUGGCCAUCCCCUUCAACCAGGGACAGAACCCGGCUUACAGGCCCACUCCAGCC
Molecule: RNase P RNA, 379 nt
Filed under: Magnetococcales bacterium
Lineage: Bacteria; Pseudomonadati; Pseudomonadota; Magnetococcia; Magnetococcales
Description: RNase P RNA component class A
Rfam family: Bacterial RNase P class A
About the family: Ribonuclease P (RNase P) is a ubiquitous endoribonuclease, found in archaea, bacteria and eukarya as well as chloroplasts and mitochondria. Its best characterised activity is the generation of mature 5'-ends of tRNAs by cleaving the 5'-leader elements of precursor-tRNAs. Cellular RNase Ps are ribonucleoproteins.
Source: RNAcentral